Molecule: small RNA, 347 nt
Filed under: Histoplasma ohiense
Lineage: Eukaryota; Fungi; Ascomycota; Eurotiomycetes; Onygenales; Ajellomycetaceae
Description: hypothetical lncRNA
Source: RNAcentral
AAAGAAGCUUGCAAAAACACAUUCUUUUUAAAUCAACUUGCUUCUUUCUAAUCAAUAUUAGUUAACUACCUCCACUAUGAAUGCUAUUCUACACUAUUCUACACUGUCACACACCAUUGAAGUUAAAUACUGCUUAUUAAUAUGACCUUGGUGAAACAUGUGAGUACAGCCGCUCAAUUCACUGAACAUCUGAUCUUUUUCAUCCAUACUUUGCAAAAAGAAGCUGUAAUAUUAGUACAGCUGCUCUGCCCACCGAACGGUCGUCAUAUUGAGCUGUACUUUUUAAAAAAAGUGGAGAUCCGUACAAAAAGAACGAGUACACACGGCCACACCGAACAGGUCCCAAG